CUAAUCUAAUUGAAAAUUGGAUUGGGAAUUUCAAUUCAUGCGCACAAUAACAAGGAAACUCAGACAAAGAGGCCAAUGGCAGUGAUGGUGAUGGAGUGGAACAGGGUUCAGCAACUCAAAAACUGAAAGAUUCCAGGAAGGUCACCAGAAAGUACCAGUUGGAGCUAAGCCAGAAAGCUUUGGAUGAGAAUAUAAUUGUGUAUUUGGGAAGAGGUUGUGGGAAGACCCACAUUGCUGUACUGCUUAUACACGAGCUAGGUCACUUGAUAAGGAAGCCCCAGAAGAACAUAUGCGUCUUUUUUGGCCCUACUGUGGUUCUGUUUUUUCAGGAAUAUAGGACUGACUCAGAAGAUAAGCG
This is a long non-coding RNA of Quercus lobata, 358 nucleotides long. RefSeq lists it as uncharacterized. NCBI's taxonomy places the organism in Eukaryota, Viridiplantae, Streptophyta, Magnoliopsida, Fagales, Fagaceae. The record is from RefSeq and is a predicted model, not a curated record. The transcript is spliced from 3 exons.